AUGGUUGAGAAGAAGCCGAGGGUUGUCAUAGUGGGCGCGGGCAUAGCCGGACUCUCGGCGGCGCAGCAGCUAUGCGGCGCGGGCCGGGACAAGUUAGAGGUGGUGGUGGUGGAGGCUGGCUGCCGCGCUGGUGGCCGGGUAUACACGUCCGAGUUCGCCGGCCAUCGUCUCGAGAUGGGCGCUACGUGGGUGCAGGGCAUCGUCGGGAGCCCCGUGUACGCGCUGGCGCGGGAAGCAGGCGCGCUCCGGCAGGAGGCCGCGGACCUCCCUUACGAGCGCAUGGACGGGUUCCCUGACAGCGUCCUGACUGUCGCCGAGGGCGGCGAUGUCGUCGACGCGGUGACGGUGGCCAAGCCGAUCGAGGAGCUGUACAGGGACAUGAUGGAGGCCGCGCGUGCCGGUGAGGCUGUCGGCGGAGGGGGUGUGGAGGAUUACCUGCGCCGGGGGCUCCGAGCGUACCAGGCGGCGCGCCCGGGCGGGAGCAAGGAGCUGGAGGAGGUCGAGCAGGCGCUGCUUGUCAUGCACAUCAACCGGGAGCGCACGGACACCUCCGCCGACGAUCUCGGCGACCUUGACCUCGCGGCCGAGGGCGAGUACCGCGACUUCCCCGGCGACCACGUCACGAUCCCCGGUGGGUACACCCGCGUGGUGGAGCACCUCGCCGCCGCGCUCCCGCCCGGCACUGUCCGCCUCGGCCUCCGCCUCCGUCGUCUCGACUGGGGCGAAACCCCCGUGCGCCUCCACUUUGCCGAUGAGGCGACGACGACGCUCACCGCUGACCACGUCAUCCUCACGGUCUCGCUGGGCGUCCUCAAGGCGAGCAUCGGCGAGGACGUGUCCGCUGCGGGUGCAAUCGCCUUCGACCCGCCGCUCCCACAGUUCAAGCGUGAGGCCGUCGCGCGGCUGGGAUUCGGUGUCGUGGACAAGCUGUUUAUCGAGCUGGAGGACGUGGAGAUGCCGGAACCGGAUGGCGACGACGAGCAGCAAGCCAGGACGGCCCCGCCGACUUUCCCGUUCCUGCACAUGGCCUUCGUCGGAGACGUGGCGAAGAUCCCGUGGUGGAUGCGCGGCACCGAGUCAGUGUGCCCCGUCCACGCGGGCUCCACCGUGGCGCUCGCGUGGUUCGCCGGGCGGGAGGCCGCGCACCUCGAGUCGCUCCCCGACGACGAGGUCAUCCGCGCGGUCCACUCCACGCUGGAAUCCUUUCUCCCGGGCCCACCUCGCCGCUGCAGCGGGGCAGGCGCGGGGGCGACCCCACGGCGGAGGGUGAGGAGAAUCAAGAGGAGCGGGUGGGCGACGGACCCGCUGUUCCUCGGGUCCUACAGCUACGUCGCCGUCGGGUCAAGCGGCGAGGAUCUUGAUCGGAUGGCAGAGCCGCUCCCGCGCGGACCGGAGGCCGGUCGGACGCCGCUGAGCGUGCUGUUCGCCGGCGAGGCGACGCAACGGACGCACUACUCGACGACGCACGCGGCCUACCUGAGCGGCGUACGGGAGGCCGACCGGCUGCUGCAGCACUACCGCUGA
Molecule: ribosomal RNA, 1524 nt
Filed under: Triticum aestivum (bread wheat)
Lineage: Eukaryota; Viridiplantae; Streptophyta; Magnoliopsida; Poales; Poaceae
Description: partial small subunit ribosomal RNA
Source: RNAcentral